GUAAUAUAAGAUAUGGUCUUUUAGUUUUUAACUAGAAAAACUAAGAAACGUUUCUUAAACAAAAAAUAUAAGAGCCGUCUCCUAAUUUUUUUAGUUAAAAGUUAAGAGACCAUAUCUUAUAUUAU
Brassica napus (rape) is the source of this 125-nucleotide non-coding RNA. NCBI's taxonomy places the organism in Eukaryota, Viridiplantae, Streptophyta, Magnoliopsida, Brassicales, Brassicaceae. The record is from Rfam.